CCCUGCUCUGUCACUGGCCACACAGGCUGUUUCUGCUGCUCACCAAGCAGACUCGCAGUGUCCCCUCCUAGCAGAAGGUGUCUCUCUCCUGUUCCUGCCGCCCCACUAGAGCCCUCCCAUUGUGAGUCCCGGCAGGGCCCUGCACUCUUCAGUGCCAGCCCCAGGCCGAUGGUGGCUGCAGAGCAGGCUCUGCCUCCUUCAUCUUCCCGGGCUUCACUUGUUUCAGAGCUGUUUCACCCGAUAAGCUCAAAGCACCGCAAGAACCAAAACCCCGUGUCUUUGUAUUGGUCACUGAGUUGUCCCCAGCACCCAGCUCUGUGCCCAGCACACAGGACACAGCAAGUAAGUAUUUGUGUAAGGGAUGAAUGAGUGAGCUCAUCUCAUCCUCACUGUCUGACUAUAGGGCCCGGCCCCGAAGCCCAAACUCUAGACCUCGCCCUUCACUUUGAC
Molecule: long non-coding RNA, 450 nt
Filed under: Cavia porcellus (domestic guinea pig)
Lineage: Eukaryota; Metazoa; Chordata; Mammalia; Rodentia; Caviidae
Description: lncRNA (ENSCPOG00000034259.1)
Source: RNAcentral